GAUGAACGCUGGCGGCGUGCCUAAUACAUGCAAGUCGAGCGAACAGACGAGGAGCUUGCUCCUCUGACGUUAGCGGCGGACGGGUGAGUAACACGUGGAUAACCUACCUAUAAGACUGGGAUAACUUCGGGAAACCGGAGCUAAUACCGGAUAAUAUAUUGAACCGCAUGGUUCAAUAGUGAAAGACGGUUUUGCUGUCACUUAUAGAUGGAUCCGCGCCGCAUUAGCUAGUUGGUAAGGUAACGGCUUACCAAGGCAACGAUGCGUAGCCGACCUGAGAGGGUGAUCGGCCACCCUGGAACUGGGCCACGGUCCAGGCUCCUACGGGAGGCAGCAGUAGGGAAUCUUCCGCAAUGGGCGAAAGCCUGACGGAGCAACGCCGCGUGAGUGAUGACGGUCUUCGGAUCGUAAAGCUCUGUUAUUAGGGAAAAACAAAUGUGUAAGUAACUAUGCACGUCUUGACGGUACCUAAUCAGAAAGCCACGGCUAACUACGUG
Molecule: ribosomal RNA, 497 nt
Filed under: uncultured bacterium
Lineage: Bacteria
Description: partial 16S ribosomal RNA
Rfam family: Bacterial small subunit ribosomal RNA
Source: RNAcentral